This 731-nucleotide ribosomal RNA is filed under the name uncultured cyanobacterium. Its description in RNAcentral is "bacterial SSU rRNA". It matches the Rfam family "Bacterial small subunit ribosomal RNA", at positions 22 to 805 of the family's 1533-position model. Lineage: Bacteria; Bacillati; Cyanobacteriota. The record is from RNAcentral.
GACUAGGGGGUGCUAGUGUGCUUAACACGUGCAAGUCGAAAGAACGCUUCACGUUAGUAUCGGACCGGUGAACUAUGCGGGAGAACCUGCAAUCUCGCAGGGGGAUGACCUGGGGAAACGGCCGCUAAUACCCCAUAUGCCGAGAGGUGAAAUGAAUUUCGCCUGAGGAUGAGCUCGCGUCUGAUUAGCUAGUUGGUGGGGUAAAGGCCUACCAAGGCAUCGAUCAGUAGCUGGUCUGAGAGGAUGAUCAGCCACACUGGGACUGAGACACGGCCCAGACUCCUACGGGAGGCAGCAGUGGGGAAUUUUCCGCAAUGGGCGCAAGCCUGACGGAGCAACGCCGCGUGAGGGAUGAAGGCCUCUGGGCUGUAAACCUCUUUUCUCAAGGAAGAAGAACUGACGGUACUUGAGGAAUAAGCCACGGCUAAUUCCGUGCCAGCAGCCGCGGUAAUACGGGAGUGGCAAGCGUUAUCCGGAAUUAUUGGGCGUAAAGCGUCCGCAGGCGGCCUUGAAAGUCUGUCGUUAAAGCGUGGAGCUUAACUCCAUUUCGGCGGUGGAAACUACAAGGCUUGAGUGUGGUAGGGGCAGAGGGAAUUCCCGGUGUAGCGGUGAAAUGCGUAGAUAUCGGGAAAGACACCAGUGGCGAAAGCGCUCUGCUGGGCCAUAACUGACGCUCAUGGACGAAAGCUAGGGGAGCGAAAGGGAUAGAUACCCCUGUGUCCUAGCCGUAA